CCUGGGUGUCUAUGAAACUUUUGAGAGCACCAGCUAGGGUAGGAGGACUAGCGGUUCCUGACAUUCGCACUUACUACCAUGCAUCUAUUUUAGCGGCUGGUAUGGCACAUUUUGAUAAUCACAACCCUCCUCAGUGGGUUCAAAUGGAACAACACAUGAUGUCGCCAUAUGAUAUCACACACAUUUUAUGGCUUCCCAAACAGUUUCGGCCCUUCUUAAAAACAGUCCCGGAUCAGAUAGCCUUGUUAAUAAAAAUUUGGGAUAUACACAGAUAUAAGUUAAGUAGACAACUAAUCUCCCUUGCUACUCCUACGGAGGCUCUCAUAUAUUGCAUUCCUACGUUUUAUGCAAAACCAUGGAGGGAGA
This is a non-coding RNA of Pelobates cultripes (western spadefoot toad), 366 nucleotides long. The record is from the annotation of a GenBank genome assembly. NCBI's taxonomy places the organism in Eukaryota, Metazoa, Chordata, Amphibia, Anura, Pelobatidae.